UAUUUAAAUUUAAAUUUUAAAAAAUUUUAUUGUGACUAUAAGUCUUUAAUAAAAUAUUCUGGCUAAAGCUACUAUUAAACGUAUUAUUAAUAUGAAAUUGACCAACACAGCAUUUAUUUUUUUGAGACAGGGUCUCACUUUGUCACCCAGUCUGGAGUGCAGUGACACAAACAUGGCUCCUGGGCUCAAGCGCUCUCCCACCUCAGCCUCCUGUGUAGCUGGGACCACAGGUGUGUGCCACCAUGCCCAGUGUGAAGAUGUGCUUGGUUUCCUUUCGUCCUUCCACCAUGAUUAUAAGUCUCCUGAGAUUUCCCAGCCAAGCUUCCUGUACAGCCUGCAGAACUUAUAA
Molecule: long non-coding RNA, 349 nt
Filed under: Papio anubis (olive baboon)
Lineage: Eukaryota; Metazoa; Chordata; Mammalia; Primates; Cercopithecidae
Description: lncRNA (ENSPANG00000046075.1)
Source: RNAcentral